Molecule: ribosomal RNA, 591 nt
Filed under: Pichia manshurica
Lineage: Eukaryota; Fungi; Ascomycota; Pichiomycetes; Pichiales; Pichiaceae
Description: eukaryotic LSU rRNA
Rfam family: Eukaryotic large subunit ribosomal RNA
Source: RNAcentral
GCAUAUCAAUAAGCGGAGGAAAAGAAACCAACAGGGAUUGCCCCAGUAGCGGCGAGUGAAGCGGCAAGAGCUCAGAUUUGAAAUCGUGUUUCGGCACGAGUUGUAGAGUGUAGGCGGGAGUCUCUGUGGAGCGCGGUGUCCAAGUCCCUUGGAACAAGGUGCCUGAGAGGGUGAGAGCCCCGUAGGGUGCUGCGCGAAGCUUUUGAGGCCCUGCUGACGAGUCGAGUUGUUUGGGAAUGCAGCUCCAAGCGGGUGGUAAAUUCCAUCUAAGGCUAAAUAUUGGCGAGAGACCGAUAGCGAACAAGUACUGUGAAGGAAAGAUGAAAAGCACUUUGAAAAGAGAGUGAAACAGCACGUGAAAUUGUUGAAAGGGAAGGGUAUUGGGCUCGACAUGGGGGGUGCGCACCGCUGUCUCUUGUAGGCGGCGCUCUGGGCGCCCUCUGGGCCAGCAUCGGUUCCUGCUGCGGGAGAAGGGGCUCCGGAAAGUGGCUCUUCGGAGUGUUAUAGCCGGGGCCAGAUGCCGCGUGUGGGGACCGAGGACUGCGGCUUCUGUCUCGGAUGCUGGCAUAACGGCGCAAUACCGCCCGUCUU